RNAcentral lists this ribosomal RNA (178 nucleotides) under uncultured bacterium. Its description in RNAcentral is "partial 16S ribosomal RNA". It matches the Rfam family "Bacterial small subunit ribosomal RNA", at positions 332 to 526 of the family's 1533-position model. The record is from RNAcentral.
AUUACUCCUACGGGAGGCAGCAGUGGGGAAUAUUGGACAAUGGGCGAAAGCCUGAUCCAGCAAUGCCGCGUGAGUGAUGAAGGCCCUAGGGUUGUAAAGCUCUUUUACCCGGGAUGAUAAUGACAGUACCGGGAGAAUAAGCCCCGGCUAACUCCGUGCCAGCAGCCGCGGUAAUAAU